This 253-nucleotide ribosomal RNA is filed under the name uncultured bacterium. RNAcentral describes it as "partial 16S ribosomal RNA". It matches the Rfam family "Bacterial small subunit ribosomal RNA", at positions 524 to 776 of the family's 1533-position model. The record is from RNAcentral.
UACGUAGGGUGCGAGCGUUGUCCGGAAUUACUGGGCGUAAAGAGCUUGUAGGUGGUUUGUCGCGUUGGUCGUGAAAUCUCACGGCUUAACUGUGAGCGUGCGGGCGAUACGGGCAGACUAGAGUACUGCAGGGGAGACUGGAAUUCCUGGUGUAGCGGUGAAAUGCGCAGAUAUCAGGAGGAACACCGGUGGCGAAGGCGGGUCUCUGGGCAACAACUGACGCUGAGGAGCGAAAGCGUGGGGAGCGAACAGG